This 222-nucleotide long non-coding RNA is filed under the name Brassica napus (rape). RNAcentral's name for it is "long non-coding RNA (BNAP_LNC018148)". Lineage: Eukaryota; Viridiplantae; Streptophyta; Magnoliopsida; Brassicales; Brassicaceae. The record is from RNAcentral.
GACACAGACAUUGGUACUGGAUCGGAUGAAGCCCAGUCUCCAAUUGCACACGACCUCUAUGGCAAUCGAGAGUGGCCCGAUACUUUCCCAACCAGUCCAUACCUAGGAUCACUUCGUGAUUCUCUAGGUGGACACAGACCAAAUCCACCGGGAAUACCUUUCCCUGAAUUGACACUGGGAUAUUUGACAUGAGACCUAGUGAGUUCAUGGCUUGCCCUCCGG